This 37255-nucleotide long non-coding RNA is filed under the name Phaseolus vulgaris (common bean). Its description in RNAcentral is "long non-coding RNA (PVUL_LNC001826)". The record is from RNAcentral. Lineage: Eukaryota; Viridiplantae; Streptophyta; Magnoliopsida; Fabales; Fabaceae.
AAAGCAGCUAAAUCAGAGCCUAUGACUUUUAAAGCCAGUGGAAGACCUUUGGCGUAAUCUACAGCACGCACAGACACAUCUUCAAAACCUGUUUUAGGAUAACUUUGUUUGAAGGCAUUCCAACAAAAUAGCUCUAAAGAAUGUUGGUCAUCAAGUUCCUUCAUUUCAUACUUAAGUUUAACUUGGUGAGCAAUUAGCACAUUUUCUUCCCUUGUCGUUAUAAUGAUCCUACUACCUGGACCAAACCAAUUGCACUCUCCUGCCAACUUUUCUAACUGGUCUUUAUCACCAACGUCAUCAAGAACCAAAAGAACUUUCUUUUUCUGAAGCUUUUCUUUUAUUUCACCCAUUCCUUUAAUUGUACUUCCCAAUUUAGUUUCCAACUCCUCAAACAUAUCAGAUAAAAGUGUCUUUUGUAGAUCUUCCAUGCCAUUGAUUCUGUUUGAUUUUUCUCUAACAUCGGAAAGAAAACUUGCAGCAUCAAAGUUUUGCACAAUUUUGUUAUACAAAGCUUUGGCAAGUUCCGUUUUUCCAAUUCCACCAAGUCCAUAUAUGCCCAACAUUCUUACAGUUUUAUCUUCAGCCUUCUUGUCCAAAAGUGACUUAACUUCUUCUAUGCAAGCCUCAAGUCCAACAGGGUUUUGACCACUAUAUAAAGGUUUAGGAGUUAUAUAUUCAUGGACCUUUCCAACAAUUUCUUCAAUACGAUAGCUUUCAUCAUCCCUAUAAGAGUAGAAUGUAUUAAUUAUUUGUUUGAUAUCAUGAUUUUUAAUUUAUUGUACUAAAUGAUAAGCAUUGUGAUUAUUGUACUAGAUAGUAAGCAUUGAUAUUAAGAACCAGUAGCACAAAAGAAUAAUGAUCACACAUCAUACAAAAUUUACUGGAGAUGAAAAAGUUAGAACAAUUUUAUUCUAAGAAAAAUACCUAAAUAUAAUAUCAAAUUAAAAUAAAAAUGGAUUUUGUUUUCCACUUUGAAAUUUUUAUUAGUUUUUUAUCUUUUAAAUUAUUUUUUAUAAUGUUCAAAAUUAUUAUUUAUGACUAACAAAAUCAAUUAACACCCUGGAAAAAUCUAAAAUUUAAAUGCAUAGUCGACCAUUUAACAUUUUUUAUAAAUUAUUAUAAUUAAGAUGUAGAAUGUUAUAUAUAACAAACUACAUAUGAUAAAAACAAUAUUACAUAUCCCAUUAUAAUUAAGAUGUAUAAUAUUAUACAUAACAAACUACACGUGAUAAAAACAAUAUUACAUACCAUAAAGUAUAUUACUUGAAAAAAAAUAUUUUUUUGAAAAGUAAAGUCCUACAUAACACCAACUUACUUUUGGUGUUUAACCUUUUAUAAAAGGCUAUAGUUAUUUUUUAACUAAAAUAAUUUAUUUUUGGAUGAGAGAAAAAAUGUUUUCUUUUAAAGUUUUCUUACCAAUUGUAUUUUUUUAAUAUAUAAGAGAAUAACGUGGUAGUUAUUGAGAAAAUAUUGUUAGAAUGUAAGGUGUUGAAUAAACGUAAUUGAUGGUGGAAGUAAGAAACAAGCAAUGGACAAAAAGACAAUCUAGAAUCUCUAAGCUAGGUGUGAAAGAACCCACUAAAUGGAAGUGUAGAGGCUAGGUGAUAGAAGGUUGGAUGUAGUAGUAGUAAGGAGUUCAUGGAAGAAUAGUGGUGUUGGUGGAUGUGGUAUACUCACUACGAAAACAACAUAUUAUCGACGGUCAAAAUCCAUAAAUAAUAAAUAAGACCAAAAAUUUGUCGAUACCUAUGAAAGAGCAACAAGCCAAAUUUCACCAAUAAUAUGCUUGUCGGUGAGUUUACCAAGAGAAAAAAUUAUUUAAGUAAUUAUUAAUAUUAUCAAUUAUUAUUUUUAAAAUACUAUUUAUCAUUAACAAAUUAUAUUAUUAUUUUCAAUUAUUAGAACACAUUACCAUUCUGAUUUUUAUUAUUCUUAUUAUUAAUAAUAAUAUAAAUAAUAAUAAUAUAUUAAAAAAUAUUAAUACUGAUAACACUAUUAUUAAUAUCAAUACAAAUAAUAUUAUUAUUAAUAUCAAUACAAAUAAUAAUAUUAUUAAUACUAAUACUAAUAAUAUUAACAAUAAUAAUAUUAUUAUUAUCAUUAAUAUUAUUAUAAUUAAUUAAUAAUAAUAUUAUUAUUAUUAAUUUUAUUAAUAUUAACAUUAGUAUUAUUAGAACUAAUAUUAUUAUUCAUCUUAUUAAUAUUAUAAUUAUUAAUAUAAUAUUAAUAAUAAUAUUAUUUUAAUUAUUAUUAUUAUUAAUAUAUUUAAUUUCUGUAGUCAUUAUUAAUUUUAUUAAUAUUAAUAUUAUUAGUAUUAUAUUUAUUAAUAUAAAUCUAAUAAGAAUAAUAAUAAUAGUAUUGGUAAUAAUUACAAUAAUCAUAAUAAUUAAUAUUAUAAUAUUAUUAAUAAAAUUAAUAAUAAUUACUAACUAUGCGUUCAAAUCCUAGUUUCAAGAUAAUAAUAUUGUAAUACUUUUUUCAUGUAAUAAUACAUAAUUAUUAUGUCAAAUUGCAAUGCCUAACAUAAAAUUUUCUAUAAUUUUUUUUAAUAAUAAUACUAAGUUAAUAUUAAUAAAAUUAAUAAUAAUUAUAAUAAUAUUAAUGAUGAUAAUAAUAACAUGGAUAAUAACAAGAAUAUUAAUAUUAAUAAUUAUAAUAUUAGUAAUAUGAAUAAUAAUUAUAAUAAUAUUAUUAAUAUUAAUAGUACUAAUAUUAUUAAUAAAAUUAACAAUAAUUACAGUAAUAUUGAUAUUAUUAGUAAUAAUAAAUACAGUAUUAUUAUUAUUAUUAUCAUUAAGAAUAAUAAUAACCAUAAUAAAACAAAAAAAUGAUUUUGAUUUAGUGGUUAUCAGCUGAGUGAAUCUGGACUAAACUGUGUCUUGUAGCAAAACAAAUUUUUUAUCAAACACAAAUAUGCCGGUAAAUGCGUCAAUAAUGUCAUAUGUCGGUAUAAUUUGUUGGUAAUAAAAAAUAUUGCCAAACAUAAAUUCAUCGGUAAUUCAAUAUUUUUUUUAAUAGGUGAUUUUAAGAAACAAGUUAAAAAGACGGAACUAGGAUUUAUAAUUUUAAAACAAAGAGGUAUGAAAUCAAAACAAGUAAAUCACUGUAACUCAUAUAGGUGAUUUGGAUAAAAUGGGAUUACUAAGUAAUCUAAAUGAGAAAGGAAUGAUGAAAGGGAAGAGGUUAUUUAGUGAACUUAUACGCGCUGGUAACAUAUAAGUCCUUGGAAAAAUAAAAGUCUCGAUCAAAAUGGAUUUAAUUUGGAGACUCAAACUCUAGGUAUUUUCAUGUUGUUACGGAUUGAAAAAUAAAUAGGAAUGAGAUUAAAAAGGUGUUGAAAACCUAGGGUAGUGGAGUGCAAACCCUAUCAUUGUUAAAAGCAAGGUAAAAGAGUUAUUCUAUGAGAGGCUAAUGUAGAUUACUAAAUUCAAUGUUAGGUUAAGGAAAAUUCUCUUCUAUUUCUAUUGGUGAUAAUAUAGUCUUUAACAUGUGGGUUUACGAAACUAGAAAUUAAGAAAACACUAGGCAAUGUAAGACUGAUUAAAGUCUGUGAGAUAACUAUAAAUUUGGCUUUACAAAGAAAUUAUGGGAGGUUGUAAAAGUGGAAAUCAUACAAUCUACCCACUCUUUUCAAAUUAGUGGGAAUAUUAUAAGGGAUGCAAAGUCUCUUUCAUAACACUUACACUCACUUAUACCUAAGGUAGACAAUUCAGGUAGUUUACAUGAAUUCAAAAUUGGUCUCCUUAGUUAGGUGUAGGUAAAUUGAACUUCCAAUAAUUCUACUUGUCGGAAAUGAAUGAUAAGGGAAAUAGGAUGUAAAUGUGUAUGUGGGUAGAGAUUAUUUUGAAUAUAUAGAAUCAUAGGAAUAAAAUUAUUUUUAAGAAUGACAUCGUAUAUGCAAAAGAGAUAUUUCUUUUGGCACAGACAAAAGUAUGAGCUUGGACAAGGAAUAAAUCUCUUAAUCAACUUUUACAUAUUCUUAUUGGUGUAUAUAUGCCCAACAACUUGCAUAAAAACCUAUCUAAAUAAUAUGGUAUACUCACUCAAAUGAAUAUAUACGAUUGCUAAUUGUAAGUUAUUUUCAGUUUGAGUCUUAUGAAUGAAGCAAUAAAGAUUGAGAUUUCUUGAGUACCAUACACAUCAACGAAUUAAAACCUUAUGUAUGCCAUAUGUAAAAAAAACUAGACAUUAAAGAAGGAGUGACAAUGAUUAGUAUAGGUUUAUGGUAAAUUCUUGUGGAGGGUAGUGAAGUGUUAUUAAGAAAAUCCUUAGAUACUUUAAAGCAACAUUAUACAUUGUAUUAUGAAGGAUGAGAAUUAUAUUUCAGAGAGUUAUAUUAUAUAUGAUUAAUUAUCCCAUAAAAUACAUGAUUUUUUCUAAAUAUGGGAUGAAAAAGAAAUAAGAUUGAAUGGUUUGUUAUACAUACCCGGUGGCAAUAUGCUUCCCUGGGAAGUCAACUGCUUGAGACAAGGCUGACCUCCAAUCCUGAAUUCUCUGUGAUUCAUGUGCCUUCAUGUGUUUUCCGAAGCUAUUUCUUUCGUGCCGUAUAUCUGAGGGAUCUACAUGGUAAAACACUGGGUAAACAAGCUGCUUCUUCUCCUUCAUCUUGCUGCGUUCUAUGAUCUUAACAAGUUCAUCCAGACACCGUGUGGAAGAUGCAUAGUUCUCAGAAAACACAACGAUGAAAAUCUUAGAUUCUUCAAUGGCCUUCGACAGAUCAGGUGGAAGACUUUCCCCUGUCCUCAUAUUCUUAUCAUCAUUGAAACUUUUUAUUCCCUUCCCAUCUAACUCUCUACGCAGAUGCCCUAUAAAAUUGUUCCUUGUAUCUUCUCCUCUAAAACUGAUGAACACAUCAUAGGUGAAACCAAGACGCUCUUCUUCCUCACCAUGUUCUCCCAUGCUACAAACACACCAAAACUACACUAUGGAUUCUCAACUACUUUCAUCAAUUUAGUGUGUUCUGAUUAAAUACACUUUCUUACGCGGAUACACGCUUUCCUGUCUCACUGAAUUAAGCUUCUAAAUUAUAGGGGUUGACCAAGAAUAAGACGAUGGGGAUAUAAUUAUUACAACUACCAAACAUAAUGGCUCGAUCUUGAAAAUAAAGAUGAUGGGAACAGAAAUAAUUCACGUGGUGCAUAUUUAAUGUGGUUUAAAUUGUACAGAAUUGGAUUUCUGUGUAUAAAAAUAUAGCGUUCAGAUUCAUGUGUAUUCAAUUUAAUUUAUAGUAUUGUUUUUCUAUACAUUGAAAGUUAGGUAAAGGAUAAAAUAUUCUAGAACGAAUUUAUUAAGUUUAAAAAAAACAAUUUAUUUAUUUAUGUUUAUUAUAUAUCUUUAGGCAUUGUUUAGACUAAUUUUAAUAUGUUUAGUUUUUUUUUUAUUUAUUCAUAUAUAUGCUGAUGUUUAUUUGUUACACAUUAAUAGUUGUUUUGUAAUUUAUUUAGUUAUUUUUUAUUUAUAUAUAUAUAUAUAUAUAUUUUAUAUAUAAAAUAGUGUAAAAAAACUCAUCAAAUAAAUCAACAAAUCUUGGAGUGGGAUAGAAAACUUUUUCUAUGUUAAAUGACUUCGAAGAAGGCGAUAUGAUAGUUUUUGAAACAGAGGUUAAAAUACCAAACAAUGAAAUUCGAGUUAUUCACCUUUUAGGAUGAGUUUUUUUUUUUAUAUAUAACUUUUUAUUCUCACUUAAUUUUCUCAAAAUUUGUGUUAGUUUGUUGAUACUUAAACAAUUUAUAUAUUUAAGUGUAUUGUUUAUGUUUAUGCAUUGUUUAUAUUAAUUUUAUUAUGUUUAGUUAUUUAUUUAUUCGUAUAUGCUCAUGCUUAUUUCUUAUAUAUUAAUAUUUGCUUUCUAAUUUUUUUUUUAAUUUUCUUAUUUACAUUUACAUAUAUAUAUAUAUAUAAUUAUGUAAAUUAUUUUUUUUAAUACAAAAUAAUGAAAGAAUACGCGUCAAAUGAAUCAACAAAACUUGGAGCGGGAUGAAAGAAUUUUCUGUAAGUUAAAUGACUCAAAGAAGACGAUAAGAUUGUUUUUGAAGCAGAUAUUAACCUACCAAAUAAUGAAAUUUGAGUUAUUAGUCUUUUAGGAUGAAUUUUUUUUUUACAUAAUUGUUUAUUUUUACUAACUUUCCUCAAAAUUUGUCUCAAUUUUUUGGUACUUGAACAACUUAUUUAUUUACGUGUAUUGUUUAUGUUUAUGUAUUGUUUAUAUUAAUUUUAUUAUGUUUAGUUGUUUAUUUAUUUGUAUAUGCUUAUGUUUAUUUCUGACAUAUUAAUAUUUUCUUUCUAAUUUUUUUGCAUUUUCUUAAUUACAUUUAUAUAUAUAAUUAUAUAAAUUAUAUUUUUAUAUAGAAUAGUGAAAAAAACGCGUCAAAUUAAUCAACAAAAUUUGGAGUGGGAUUGAAGAAUUUGGAUAAGAUUAAAGGAUUUCAAAGAAUAAAAUAAGAUUGUUUAACCUACCAAAUAAUGAAAUUUGAGUUAUUAGUAUUUUAGGAUGAUUUUUAUUUUUUACAUUAUUGUUUAUUGUUACUGAAUUUCCUCAAAAUUCGUGUAAGUUUGUUGAUACUUAAAAAAAUUAUUUAUUUCUGUGUAUGGUUUAUGUUUAUGUAUUGUUUAUAUUAAUUUUAUUAUGUUUAGUUGUUUAUUUAUCUGUAUAUGCUCAUGUUUAUUUCUUAUAUAUUAAUAUUUGCUUUCUAAUUAUUAUUUUUAUUUUCUUAUUUACAUUUAUAUAUAUAAUUAUAUAAAUUAUAUUUUUAUACAGAAUAGUGAAAGAAAAUACAUCAAAUAAAUCAACAAAAUGAAAAAAUUUAUGUAAAUUAAACGACUUCAAAAAAGACGAUAAGAUUGCUUUUGGAGUAGAAGUACCUACCAAAUAAUGAAAUUCGAGUUAUUAGCCUUUUAGAAACACUACAAAAGAUAUUUAUUCAUUACACACUGAUUAUUACAUACGGAUUUAGAUCCGUAUAUAAUUAUGGAUUUAUAUACGGAUAUUACAUACGGAUAAAAAUCAGUCACUAAAUUGUUUAUACAUACUGAUUUUUCUGUAUGUAAAAGUAAAUAAAUUUUAUAAAAUAUAUCCGUAUAAAAAAUAUGUAUGUAACAAAGAACAUCUGUUGCAUACAGAUAUUUUAAAUUUAUUUAUUAAAAAAAUAAGUUUUAGAAGUUUUGUCAUUUUUUCACUAAAACCCCAACGUUUGCCCCCAAAACCCGUGUGCCCUAAUUCUAUCUUCAGAAGUGGAGUGUGUGAAGCUCAAUCUUGAAGCAAAGGUGAAGCUCCGUCCGACCUUCUGAAAAAUACAAAGGUGAGUUUGUUCUUUAUCCUAAUAUCUGUUUGCAUGAUGUAUUUUGUGCCAACGAAUGGUAUGAAAAAGGAAGGCAAUGGUGGACACAUGAAUGACACUGUUUGGAAACCAUGAGUGCUGGCCUCCUUAUCUCUUUCCUUUUCGCAACCUUACUCACUCUCUCAUCCCCUUUUCUAUGUCACUGCCUCUCCUUAUAUUGAUGAAGAGUGAGAAGAAAAAAAAGAGUAGGUGAAGGUAGGUGGUGGGAAGUUGGGAGAGAAAUGAGGGAGUAGUGGAGAUUUUGGAAAGAGUGGGAGCAGGUGUAAGAGAGGCAGCAGGUGCAGAGUAAGUGGCGUGGAGAGUGUGGGUCAAAUGUUAGUAAUAUUUGACUGUCCCCAAACCCACAUUAUGGGAGCUUCAUGUACCAAACCACCCACACUUUGGAACUUUUGCUCCGUAAGACCAUAAAGGACCAUCUAAGUGGAGAAAAACUUGAUCUCCUUUUAGUGGGAUUCUUUACUUACAAUUGAUUAAUUCUACAUUGAACUCAUCAUCAACACUUAGAUUUUUACUUUUUCAAUUACUUGUUCCUAUAAUAUUAUUAAUUCUAAUCUAUGACAUUGCUUUCACAGAAUAGAGUUUCAUCUAAUUUCUUUGAAGGUUGUGUUUGUCCUAUCCCAUGUUUAUGCCUAUAAUAUUGCAUGUAUUGUUACUUACUUUUUACACAUAUAGACUUUGAGGAGCCAUGUUAAAUUUUCCAUUCUGUUAAAAUACCCGUGUUUUUUUGUUGCUCAUUUGCUUUUAUCAAACAAAACCAAUCCUUGGUCAUUCAUUAUAUGGAGGACAUAUAAGUUUUUGUUUUUUGUCUUUGGUCUUGAUAGAUGCUUUGUUUGAUUGUUAAUUUAUGCUAAGGAAAAUGAGAAAACAAUGGACAUUGAAUAGUAAUUGGAGGAGUUGGUGUUAAUGCAUGAUGCAGCUUUUGCAGAGAAUCUAAGGUCCAUCUGUGUGGGUGGAUAAGUGGGAAUUAGCACGCAGAGAACCUAACUAGUGUUCAUGGACAUCACUUUUAAACAAAGCACCCACAUGCCUCUUCUGUGAGACUACCACGUUUCCAUAUUGCAAGUCAUGUCCUUAUUUGGAAAGCUAAUCCAAAUACGUGUAAUCUCCUCGAAUAUGAAAGGGCAUAGACCAUAUUCUCUUUAAGCUAAAUACCUUUUUCCUUCCACAAGGGCCUAGGGCAGUUUCUUUGAAGCACCUUUUAGAGAUAACUCUAUUUAAUAUAUACAACAUCAUUGGUAGAAGAAGUACUUAUAAUUAGUGAAUCUAUAACUGCAAAAAGAUAAUAAUGUGGAUUAAACCCCUUGGAUUACCUAAUCUUGCCACUAUAUGUGGAUGAAGCACUCAUUCACUUUUCUAAGAGUAAAUUUAAUUCAAUGGAAAAUAGAACAAUUAUCACAAAACACAUAUUAUCACAAACACACAUGAAAUUACUUAUUAUCAUUAUACUACAUAAAGUUCAAAAUAACUUCAAUUCUAAACUACUCACCAAGAUUUUUACAAAAACGAAUGUGUUACAAACACAAUACACACUACAAGAAAACAGCCAAAUAGCUUCCAAAUUUCUGUGUGGGCCAUUUUCGGACGCUACUAUCGUCGGCCAAAAUGAGGAGAAACCCACGCAAAAAUGGCAAUGGAUGCAAAACGGACGCACUUAUGGAUUUAAUGUUUUUUUUUAAAACAAUCUAGUUUGCGUCGGCCCAGGCCCACGCAUAUGCGUCAGCAUGCGUCCCACGCAUAUGCGUCGGCCACGGCCCACGCAUAUGCGUCCGUCACAACCCACGCAAAGCCCACGCAUGUUUAUAUUUUAGGAUUUUAAAAUUAUUUAAUGUAUAACAAAUAUUUUAAUAUUUAAUUCUUUAUUUUAUUUAUUUUAAAAUUAUUUCUUUAAUAUUAUAAUAAAUUAUUUAAUUUAUCAAAUUUUAAUAUAAAUUAGUUAAAUUAAAAUUAUUAAAUUAAUUAAGCGUUUGAUUUAAAAUUAAUUUAGUAAAAGAAAAGAUCUAUUUAAAUUAUUUAAAUGUUAUAUAAAAUAUUUUAUUAUUUUAAAAAUUAUUUAUUUUAAACUUAUUUUAUUUAUAUAUUGUCAUAAAUAUAUAUUUUUUAAAUUAUGAUAUAAAUUAGUUAAAUUAAAUUUAUUAAAUUGAGGAAGUGUUUAAUUUUGAAAUUAUUUAAAUGAAGUUAUCUUAAAAAGUUUAUAAAGAUUUGAAAACAUGUAGAAAAAUAAUAAUUAAUUAAAAAAUAGUAAAAGAAAAGUAAAAAAAAAUGCGUAUUUAAAUUUUGUAAAUAUUAUAUAAAAUAUACAUAAAUUUAAGAAUAUAAAUUCAAGAUGAAGUAAUUAAUUAGUGCAAAUGGUAAUGGAUGUAUUUAAAAAUAGAGAAUAAAUUUUAUCUAAAAAUGUUUUAUUUGGUUUAAGAAAAAAAAGUUGGAUAAAACUUUUAAUUAGUAAUAUAACUUAAAUAAAUUUAAAUGUUAUAUGUGUGCAAUGGCUAAAUGAACUAGGAUUUUUUGUUUUGAUAUCCAUUAUAAUUUUAAAGAUGUUAUUUCUCAUAAAUGAAGCAUAAAAUCAUCUUAAAGAAUUAGCGAAAAUGUAUAUGAUACAAACAUAUUAAGACUAAGUGCGUGAGUAAGUAACUUAUUCUUAAUUCUUAAAUUAAUACAAUAUCCAAAGUGUUUCAAAGUUGACUAUAUGCUCUAUAAAUGUCAUUGUUAUAGUUACUAAGUAUGAUCUCUAAAAGAAAUUAAUGUUUUCCAACUGAAGCACAAAAUAAUGUAGUAAGUUGUAAGUAACGAGAUGACACAUAUGCAAUAUUCUUUAUAAGUGUGUUAAUAUAGUUUCCCAAUGUUCGCCUGAUAGCGAGAGUCGAGGGAGAAGCACGAAGACGAGAAGUACCCCAGUCAAGCACCCAACAACCUGCCCGACUGAGGGAAGAAGACGAAAACUUCAAUAGUUCUCUAGGUCCCAUCUCCCCAGCAGAAACAAAUUAAUAACCCUAGUCCAUUGUCAAGGUAAGAGUUAAACUAAGAAGUGCAUUAUAAAGGCUGAAAGAGAGUAUCAUAAGCAAUUUGAGAAAUAUGAGUCAUUUCGUGAUAGUUAUAGAAUUAACUUAGAAUCAUGGAAUAUAGUUGAUUAUUAGAUUUUGGAUUAUAAGUUAGAAAGGAUUAUAAGUUAGAUUUAACCACUAAACCAAGCAAAUUCUUUAGUAUUAUUAUAAUUUUAAUUAUACUUAUUAUUAUUAACAAUAUUAAUAAUAUUAACAAUAUUAUUAAUAUUAACAAUAUUAAUAAUAUUAAUUUUAAUAAUAUGAAUAUUAUUAAUAUUAAUACUAAUAAUAUUAAUAAUAUGUAUAAUAAUAUUAAUAAUAUUUAUAAUUAUAUUAAUAAUAUUUAUAAUUAUAUUAAUAAUAUUUAUAAUUAUAUUAAUAAUAUUUAUAAUUAUAUUAAUAAUAUUUAUAAUUAUAUUAAUAAUAUUUAUAAUUAUAUUAAUAAUAAUAUGACCAAAGAAUUUGUCUGGUCUAGUGGUUAAUGCUUCCCUAGUUACUGGAAGGACUUGAGUUUCGUGGCGUCAGAACCCAGAUUCUGCAUGUUGUGUCCGUUUUUUGCUUCCACGCUAAGUAUAUUUUUUUUUAUCUUUCUUUAGGUUGAUUGACUUGGUUCAUAAGAAUUAACAACAGAUCGAUUCUCAAAAUUGAAGGUGAAUGGAAUUUAAUCUUCAUUUUGGCAUAUUUUUAGUAUUAUAGUAAUUUGUAGCUAACUUGUUCACCCUGUUAUUAACAUGGACACUUCAAAUUUGUCUGUUGCAUUGAUUUAUAAUACUAGAACUUUGCUAGUUUGUAUAAUUGUAAAUGGUAUGAAAAGAAAACAUGAUAGGUACUGAAUCGUGAGACUACAUAAUACUGGUGUGAGACUGUAAAAUACUGUGUAUUUAUACUGUUGUAAUUUUGACUGGUGUAUACUGCUGUGUAUUGAAGUUUCUUGACUCUUUUGAGAAUAUAAAAAAGGCUCUCAAAGUUUAUUGUGGAGUUUUGCAUCUGAUCCAUGAUAACAAUUGCUCCCUCUAUCGAAUCCCUUUAUUUUCAUGAAAAAAAAAAUAAAAUAAAAAAAAUGAAAGUCUGUAAAUUUUGCAUUAGGUUUUCAACCUAUGCUAUAUAUGGACCUCUUUAUUGCAUUAUGGUGUGUGUAUGUUUAACUAAAUAAAAGAAUAAAAUAAAUCUUUACAAGGAACUGCAUAUUAAAUGUUGUUGGCAUGAACUUCUUUAGGUUUUUUGCUUUAAAGAAACUACAAUAAUAAAGCCAAGUAUAAUUUUUUUUAAUCUUCCUAGGUUGAUUGACUUGGUUCAUCAGUUGUUGGAUGAUCAGUUCUUCAUUUUGACAUAUUUUUAGUAUAGUAGUUAAUUUGUUUACCACCCCGGUUGUUAAUAUGGUCACUUUUAAUUUUAUCUGUAAUACAUUAUUUCUUUACUAGUUUGUAUAAUUGUAAAUAGUAUAAUUAAAGUUUUGCAUUAUGGUGUGUAAGGUUAUCUAAAUAAAGGAAUAAAAUAAAUUUAAAAUCUGACCACAGUUACAUACGGAUAUAUCUGUAUGUAAAUCUGAACACAGUUACAUAUAUUUGUAUGUAAAUCUGAACACAGUUACAUACAAAUAUAUCUGUAUGUAAGUCUGAUCACAGUUACAUACGGAUUUAUCCGUAUAUAACAAUUACCUACGAUAAUUUUAUAUACGAAUUUUUGUCCGUAUGUAACUAUGUUUUAUAUACAAAUUUAUUGAGUUACAUACGGAUUUGAGUUGUAUGUAAUACCAACUUUUCUUGUAGUGGAAGAAUCUCUUCUUUUACACAGUUGUUUAUUGUUACUGACUUUCCUUAAAAUUUAAGACAGUUUGUUGAUACUUGAACAAUUUAUUUAUUUACAGGUAUUGUUUAUGUUUAUGCGUUGUUUAUAUUAAUUUUAUUAUGUUUAGUUGUCUAUUUAAUCAAAUAUGCUCAUCUUUAUAUCUUAUAUAUUAAUAUUUGUUUUCUAAUUUUUUUAUUUUCUUAUUUACAUUUACAUUUAUAUAUAUAUAUAUAAUUAUAUAAAUUAUAUUUUUAUACAGAAAAGUGAAAGAAAACAAGCCAAAUAAAUUAACAAAACUUGGAAUGGAAUUGAAGAUUUUUUGUAUGUUAGAUUACUUCAAAGAAGACGAUAUGAUUGUUUUUGAAGCAGAGACUAACAUACCAAAUAAUGAAAUUCGAGUUAUUUUGCUUUAGGAUGAGCCAUUUUUUUACACAAUUGUUUAUUGUUACUUACUUUUCUCAAAAUUUGUGUCAGAUUGUUGAUACUUGAACAAUUUAUUUAUUUAUGUAUAUUAUUUGUGUUUAUGCAUUGUUUAUAUUAACUUUAGUAUGUUUAGUUUUUUUAUUUAUUGGCAUUUGCUGAUGUUUAUUUCUUAUAUAUUAAUAUUUGUUGUAUAAUUUUUUUUUCUCAUUUACAUUUACAUUUAUAUAUAUAAUUAUAUAAAUUGUAUUUUUAUACAAAAUAGUAAAUCAAAACGUGUCAAAUUAAUCAACAAAACAUGAUGCGCGAUGAAAGAAUUUGUGUAGGUUAAAUGAUUUCAAAGAAGACAAUAAGAUUAUUUUUGAAACAAAGGUUAACAUACUUAUAAUGAAAUUCGAGUUAUUCGACUUUUAGGAUGAGUCCUUUUUUACACAUAUGUUUAUUAUUACUUACUUUCCUAAAAAUUUGUGAGUUUGUUGAUACUUGAAGAAGUUAUCUAUUUACCUAUAUUAUUUAUCUUAAUGCAUUGUUUAUAUUAAUUUUAAUAUGUUUAUUUUUAUAUGCUAAUGUUUAUUUCUUAUAUAUUAAUAUUUGAUUUUUAAUUUUUUAUUUAGUUUCUUAUUUACAUUUAAAUUUAUAUAUAUAUAUAUAUAUUUAAUUAUAUAAAUUAUAUUUUUAUUCUAAACAAUGAAGAAAACGCACCAAAAAAAUCAACAAAACUUAGAAUGGGAUGUAAGAAUUUAUGUAUGUUAAAUGACUUUAAAGAAGACAAUAUAAUUAUUUUUUAAGCAAAUGUUAACAUACCAAAUAAUAAAAUUUGAUUUAUUCGUCUUUUAGGAUACAUCAUUUUUUACACAACUCUUUACUAUUACUUACUUUUCUCAAAAUUUGUGUCAGAUUAAUACUUGAAUAAUUUUAGUUACGUGCAUGAUUAUUUUUAAUGUAUUAUUUAUAUUAAUUUUUAUGAUAUUUAGUUUAUUUAUUUAUUAGAAUAUGUUUAUGUUGGUUUCUUAUAUAUUAAUAUUUGGUUUUUAAUUUUUUUAUUUUGCGUCUCUUUAUGUGUUUUAAAUUAUUAAUUAUUGUAAAAUUUAUUUUACUUUAUUUUUUAAUAUAUUGAUCUUAUCUAUUAUUAGUUUAUUAGUUUAUGUAAUUGUUAAUUAAUGUAAUUUUGACUUAUAAAUUAUGAUAGAACUCAUAUUAAGUUUCAGAAUGUCAAAAUUAAUAUUUUACGUUUUAGAAAAUCAAAUUUAAUUUAAUGUAAUAUAUGAAUUAAUUUUUCUAAAUUUAUUUAAUAUUAUAAUAUUAUUAUUUAAAUAUGAAAGUUUAGAAAAAAUAACCGUUUGUUGCACGGUCAAAGUUCUAGUAGAAAUACAAAUAGAGGGGCACGUGACGUCUCCUUUUGAUUACAGCUAAAUCCAGAAAUCUUUGAAGGGUCCCGGAAAAUGAUUCUUUCAUACUUCACCAGAUUCUUAACUGCUUUUCUAACGCACUCCAUAUGCCAUAAAGUGACACAAUAAUGUAAUCACCUUCCUUAUUAUCAUUUCAUUUAAUACAGUUUCUUACGCUGAUACAAGAUGGGGAUAUAGUUAUUACAACUACCAAACAUGAUGGCCCGAUCUAGAAAAUAAAGAUGAUGGGAACAUAAAUAUUUCACGUGGUGCAUAUUUAAUGUGGUUUAUAUUGUACGGAUUUGGAUUACUCUGCAUAAAAAUAUAGCAUUCUUAUUCAUGUGUAUUGAAUUCGAUUACAGUCUCUAAAAUUUUAAAAUCACCGACUCUCAAUUAAAUAACUAAGUUUAUUUUAUCUAUUAUAUUUAAGAUAACAGCUUUGACAUUUUUAAAUCUAAAACAUUUAAUUAACUCAAGAAUAUGUAAAUUUUUAAUUAGUAUAUUUUUUUAUGUAUUUUUUUAUAUAUAUUAAAAUCUAUACUAUAUUACUAGAACUAACUGAAAUGAAAUGGCGAAGAGACUCAACAGUAAAAAAAACUUGAAGAUGGUAAAUUGUUCAACUUAAAGCCAAAUUUUCCGAAAUGGCUGAAAAUAGAGACGAUACCCUUGGUAAUUUUUUACCAUGAUGGAGUUAUUUUUUCUUUUUUUACUAAAAUGGGGUCCGUUUUAAAAAAAUUACAAAUUUAGGCAAGUCGUGCCAAUUUGGUACGACUUCAUAUGCAGAAGUCGUCCCAAUUAGGUACGACUUUUGUCAUGUCAUACUAAAGUCGUGCCACUUGGCACGACUUCUGCCCUGUCAUACUAAAGUUGUGUCAACUUGGUACGACUUCUGCCUUGUCAUACUGAAGUCGUGCCCUAUCACUUCAUUCUCCACACCAUCAAAUUCCUUACACGUAUAACUUUUUACCUUCUCCUUCAGGUACUUUUUCCACUCCACCAAAUAUAUUUGGAACUUUGGCAUUCACCCCUCUUUCUGCAUAUAAUCCAACAUCAUUCAUGCACUAUCGACCCACAAUGCCCUCACCAACAUCUCAUAAUGAAGGCAAUAACAACGAUGAUGAACAUGUCGUUGAUGAUCCUCUUCCACGAAGACCUCGACAACAAAUACGAAGACCACAUUGUGUCACGUCUUCCCAUAAAUAAUUUACUUCUAGUUCAACUUUAUAGUUUUAUUUUAUAUCUUGUAAUGAAUCUUACUAAUUUGUUUAGUUCUAAUUAAUCUCUUCUCAUCAUUACGUGUUCUGUAAAAUCAUUAUUUCUCAAGCUAUUUAUUUUGCAAAUUCACAACAAUAAUUCUCUAUUUAUUUUCCAAAUACAAUAAAUUUUCAUUUAUGUAUUUAUUUCCAAAUUUAAUAACAAUUUUCUUCAUUUUUUAAUUAAUCAAAUAAUCAAGUUAUUGUAUUACAUUACCGUCAAACAUGAUUCAUACACGAUUAUCCCAUUUUUUGUUCCUUAAAACUAACACUCUUAGAAAAUUAUGUAUCAAAUUAAUUUUUAACAUUACAUAACUUACUACCCAAUAUAUAAAUAAUAAAAUUAAAAAAAAUUAUGACGUGGCAGAAGUCGUGCCAAGUUGGCACGACUUCAGUAUAACAUGGUUGAAGUCGUGCCAAGUUGACACGACUUUAGUAUGACAUGGCAGAAGUCGUGCCUAAUUAGGACGACUUCUGCAUAUGAAAUCGUACCGAAUUGACACAAUUUGCCUAAAUUUGUAAUUUUUUUUAAACGGACCCCAUUUUGGUAAAAACAAAAAAAAAAAUAACCCCAUCAUGGUCAAAAAACCUCAAAGGAUAACGUCAAGUUAAAUAUGUAAUAUGUAUGUAUGUCCUAACAUAUCCAACUCUCUUUUUAUUCGACCAUUUUUAUGUUAUGUAAUACAUUUAUUGUAUGUUGUAUCUCACCAAUCCUUCUGAAAAUUCUAUUGUGGUGUAAGAUUCGGUUUUCGUGCCUCUGACAUUGCCAUGCUUACUAAGUUAUCCUUCAUAAUUUGUCACAAUAUUGCUACUUAUCAAAGGAAAAGUUAUUUGAGCAAAAUACUUACUACUACAUGUCCUGUCUUUGAACUACUUUGAAUUUUUCAUAAACAACAACCUAACCAAACACGAUGCUUUAUAUCCUAUGUACUAUUUAUUUUUCUCAUUUUUAAAUAUAUCCCCUCUCUCACAUGCAUGAACUGACAGGUAUGUCAGGUGUAUUUUGAGGAGAACAAUUCAUCAGUAUCUUUGAUUGGAAGUCCGUUUAACAAAUGGGAUGACGCUUCGGAGGAAGAAUCGAAAGCCCAAAUAGAAGAUAGUGUUGGUGAAGGUUUUUCAGACUCCGAUUACUCAGAACAUGGUGGUAGGCAAGAAGAGAGAAGAGGAGAGGAGAUCGUUCAAUUUCCGACGGAAAAGAAGAGUUUCCAAAAGACGACGCAUGUAAUAGUGGGGGAAUUAAUUCUGUUGGGAAGAGCCAAAAUGUCACGUUGGAAAUGAGGAAAGAGAAAAUUUUUGUAUGGAAAACGUGUAAACCUAAUAAUUUUAUUACAAAAUAGAACAUAGAUAAAUAAAAGAGAACAAAAGAUGAACAAAAGAGUAAAAGGAAGGUAAAAAAUAUGAGAAUGAAUAUCUUUCUUUUCUUGUUAUUGAAAUCAAAACAAAUGGUCUGAAUAUAUACAAGUAGUACACUCAUUCUAGGUUUAACUAAAGAUGAAAAGAAUCAAUAAUUAAAUACUAGAAUCAUAACAAACAAAGACAAAAUAAAGGUUAUUCACCUCUAUAAAGAGAAACAACUGAUAAUUAGAAAAGAUACCCAAUUAAUAUUAAGAUUCUUCUAUAACUCUGGUAUCCGUAUCCUUUAAUACCCCGUCACAAGCUGGGGAGCAAAUAUUGAUGAGACCCAGCUUGGAACAAAUAUUCUUAAAAGAUUGAGGACUUAAAGCUUUGGUAUAAAUAUCAGCCAGUUGCUCUGUGGUGGAAAUGAGAAGCAAAUGAAUGAGACCCUUCUUUAAUUUUUCCCGGACCACGUGACAAUCUAUUUCUAUAUGUUUCGUACGCUCGUGAAACACUGGAUUUGCUGCAAUGUAUCUUGCUGAGUCAUUGUCACAGUAUAAAAGAGAUGGUUGCUCAAAAGGAACUUUGAAAUCUUGAAAAAGAUAAGUUAGCCAUUGAAUUUCACAUGUAACAGUGGUCAUUGCCUUGUAUUCAGCUUCACAAGAACUCUUUGAUAUUGUUCCUUGCUUCUUUGAUUUCCAAGAUAUGAGAGAAUUCCCAAGAUACACACUAAAACCAGUCACUGAUUGUCUUGAAUCACUACAGGUGCCCCAAUCACUAUCACAAAAGGCUUUCAGAUGAACAGAGGUAGUGGAAGAGAAAAAUAGACCAAGACUUGGAGCCCUUUGAUAUAUCUGAGAAUUCUAAUCGCUGCAUUAUAGUGAGCAAUUGUAGGCUUAGCAAGAAACUAAAAAGUUGUUGUACAAAAUUUUUUAUGUCAGGUCGGGUAUUAGUGAGAUACAUAAGUUUUCCAAUCAAUCUUCUGUAGGUUUGAAUAUAUGUGAAAGGAACACUUCCAGUAGAAGAGAAUUUCUCAUGAUUAUCAAUAGGAGUGGGUGUAGGUUUGCAGGCUAAAAGACCUGCAUAUGUUAAUAAUUCUAAUGCAUAUUUCCUUUGAUUUACCAUUAUUCCUGUCUUACCUUUUGCUACUUCUAGACCAAGAAAAUAUCUUAAAUUCCCAAGAUCUUUAAUCUUGAAUGUCUGAUUCAUGGCUUGUUUGAUUCGAGCAAUCUCUUCUUUAUCAUUUCCUGUCAAUAUUAUAUCAUCCACAUAUACCAAUAAUGCUGUAAAAGAUCCUUCAGAAUAAUUAAUGAACAAGGAAUGAUCAUUCAUAGAUUGAGUAUAUCCCAUAGAAAGCAAAAAUGAUGACAGUUUGGCAAAACCAUUAUCUACUGACUUGCUUAAGGCCAUGUAAAGCCUUUUUUAGUUUACAAACUUUUCCUGGUGGAAUAAAAGUCAUUCCAAGAGGAGCAACCAUGUAUACAUUUUCUUUUUCAAAUCUCCAUGUAAAAAGACAUUUUUAUGUCUAAUUGUUUCAAUUCCCAAUUAUAAAUAGAAGCUAAAGAAAGAAGCAACCUUAUGGUGGUCAUCUUUGCUACUGGAGAGAAAGUAUCAAGGUAGUCAAUGCCUUCUGUUUGUGUAUAUCCCUUUGCCACUAACCUUGCUUUAUACCUUUCAAUUGUCCCAUCAGCCUUAUAUUUUAUUUUGAAUACUCAUUUGCAACCUAUGGCACCUUUAUUCUUAGGCAGAAGAGCAGUCUCCCAAGUUUGAUUUGACUAUAAAGCAGAUAUCUCACAUUGUAUAACUUUUCUCCAACAUUCAUGUUUCACAGCUUCAUAAUAAGUGUUUGGCUCAACAUGUGAAGAAAGAGACAUAACAAAAGAUUUAUAAGGAGGUGAUAAAUUGCUAUAAGACAAAACAGAAUUAAAAGGAUAUUUAACUCUUGAAGAUGCACUGGAAACAUUAAGAUUACAAUGAUAAUCAAUACUCAGGUGGUCUUUUUAUUCUUGUGCUCAUUCGGAAAGAUGGAUCUGAUUUAGAACUUUGUUCUAUAUCAUGAUUUUCAUUGAGGUUUUGAUCUAUGUGGGAACAAUCUUCUUCUGAAACAUCAAUUUCUGACUCACAAUUAUUAUCACUGCUAUUUUCAACAUUAUCACAAGGUGUAUUAUCACAAGGUGCAAGAAUGGCUUGUGAUGACUGAUAUAAGACAGAUUGAUCUUCAGCAAACAAAAUUUGAUCAUUAAUGUCAGAACUGUUAGUUUCAUUGCUAGUAUCUUGAAUCCUUUGGUAUGGAAAAACAUGUUCAUAAAAGACAACAUCCCUAGACACAAAUUUCUCUUGAUUGAAUAUUCAACAAAAUAUAUCAUUUUGUCCCCCUUUGAAAACCAAUAAAAACACAUUUUGAUGCUCUUGGAUCAAAUUUUCUUCUAUUUGUUGACAAAGUGCUAGCAUAACAUAAAGAACCAAACACCUUUAAUCCAUUAAAAUUUGCAUCAGUUUUGAAAAGCAUUUCAUGAGGAGAAGAAUAGUUUAAAACAGGUGUGGAAAGCAUGUUUAUAAUAUGUGCAACAUGUAUCACAGAAUAUGACCAAUAAAUUUUGGGUAAAUGAGAUUGUAUCAUAAGAGCUCUUGCUACAUCUAAUAAAUGAUCAUGUUUCCUUUCAACUAUACUAUUUUUGUUGUGGAGUAUUGACACAUGAUGUUUGAUGUAUUAUUCCUUUACUGNNNNNNNNNNNNNNNNNNNNNNNNNNNNNNNNNNNNNNNNNNNNNNNNNNNNNNNNNNNNNNNNNNNNNNNNNNNNNNNNNNNNNNNNNNNNNNNNNNNNNNNNNNNNNNNNNNNCAGAUUUUUGUUUCAAAAGAAAAAUCCAUGUGUACCUCGAAUAGUCAUCAACUAUGGUCAAGAAAUAUUUAUGACCAUGAAUUGAUGGUAUUGAGUAUGGUCCCCAAAUAUCUACAUGAAUCAAAUCAAAACAUUUUUUUUUGCGAUUUAGAUGUACUAAUAGGAAAAGAAAGUAUUUUUUGCUUUGCAAAAUGACAAACAUCACAAACAAAAGAUUUGUUAUAUUUAACAUAAGGAAAUUUAUUCUUGAUAACAUUAAUACAUUUAUUUGAAAUAUGACCUAAUCGAAAAUGCCAAAGGGUUUCUAGAUCACUAGCACUAACAUUAACAGUAUUGAUGAUGUGUGUACAUUCAAGGGGUUUAAUUUGAAAUUUCCGGUGAGAUGGGAUCCUGAGUAUAUAAAGUCUAUCUUGCAUCUGAGCAGAACCAAUUAUUUUCAAGGAGUUUUUGUCUUGAAUGUGACAACCAUUAGAAUCAAAGGUAAGAACACAAGAUAGUCUAUCAAUCAGUUUUGUUACUAAAAGAAGAUUAAAAGUGAAGCAAGGAAUAUACAAAACAUUGUUUAUGACAUGAUCUUGAUUGAGAAAAACACUUCCAGAAUAAUUGGCAAUGACUUGGUUUCCAUUUGGUAAUUUGACAUAAAAAGGAUCAAUUUGAUGAUACGAAGUGAAGUAAGUUAAGGAUGAACAAAUGUGAUCAGUAGCACCACUAUCAAUAAUCCAAGAACUAAAAGAAGAAAUAAAGUUAUUACCAGUUUGUGUUGUCAUGAUGGAAGGAAUAACAAAGACUUGACUAGAAACAUUGUCACUGGAUUUGACCUGUUGUAAAAGAGCUAACAAUGUUUGAUACUGCUCAGGAGUAAAACCAAUUUGUUGAGACUCCACUUCUAACUUUGAACCUUCAUGAUUUUGCUCAUUAUUGUUAAAAUUUGUAUUGUGAAAGGCUGCAUGACUCUGAUGAUGGUUUUGAUUUUUAAAUUUGAAAUGAGGUGGAAAACCACGCUUUUUAUAGCAUGUAUCAAUGGUAUGCCCUGUCUUUCCACAAUAAAUGCAAAUUUUGGAAGUAUAUCCUCCUCCAUAGUUUCCUCUUCCAUAUCCACCACCCAUGCCAUAGGUCGUAGCAUUGUUAUUAUAACCUCCUUUGCUACUAGCAAUCAUUGCCUUGGAUUGAUCACCAAAAACUUGCCUCUAUUGUUGUGUAAUGAGAGAGUAAACUCUAUUCAAGGAUGAAUUAUCUUAUGAACUAACAUGGUAAGGUGAACAAAGAUCUUGUGAGGGAUCAACAACUUCACCCAUAGAUAAAUGUAGCAACCAAAGCUCUAAUCAGAGCUCUCUUUUCUUGUUAUUGAAAUCAAAACAAAUGGUUGAAUAUAUACAAGUAGUAUACUCAUUCUAGGUUUAACUAAAGAUGAAAAUAAUCAAUAAUUAAAUACUAGAAUCAGAACACACAAAGACAAAAUAAAGGUUAUUCACCUCUAUAAAGAGAAACAACUGAUAAUUAGAAAAGACAAUUAUUCUCCUCUAUAAAGAGAAACAAUUGAUAAUUAGAAAAGAUACCCAAUUAAUAUUAGGAUCCUUCUAUAACUCUGGUAUCUGUAUCCUUUAAUACAUUUCUUGGCAGAAAUUAAGUGCAAAAAGACUAAUGAUAGAGUAUGAGCAGAUGUCCUAAUUUGUAGUGGGUUGGUUUAGGCCUAACUGAAUGCAUACAGUUGGGUUAGGGAAACCCUAAUUUAUGACACAAUUGCUGACAUGGACUCACAACUAGAAAUUGUUAGACAAGGAGGAGCGACGAACUGGGUGGGAGACGACGCGGUUCCCCCUACGUCGCUGACGGUGGCUUACGACACUGGUUUCGAGGGCCUCGACAUCGACGAAGCCGACGCGGCUUCUCUUGCGCCGCCGGUAGCGGCUAAUGUAAUUGGUAUUGAGGAUCCCAACGCUGGUUAUACCUUGAAGUUGUCGGAGGCAGGCAGUGAGGGGCAACGAUUAUUGAUGGCGGUUGUCGAAGAUGCUAGAACAAUGAAGGAGGCAGGCGAUGGUGCAAUUAGUGACGGCCGUGGCGCGACUGUAGUGGCGAGCAAUGGCGAGAUUGGUGCUAGCAAUGACACGACUUCAGUGGUUGGAGAUGGCGCGACUAUAGUGUUUGGCAAUGGUGUCGGCGCGUCUGUAGGGGCGGAGCAGCGUGCGGCAGCGGCUGACGCUGUUAUGUAUGAUAGUUCCGGCAUGGGGCGCGGCAGUGGAGAGGAGGUGAGCGACGAAUGUGUGGUGGUAGUGGUGGCAAGGGUUACACAUGUUGAGGGAGAAGAAGGUGGGUUUGAUGACGAAAACAAAGGAUCUUUGGGGUGUGAGGCAAUCAGAGAAACAACAAGCGUGAUGGAGAGGAUGGGGUUAGUAUGGAGUAGAGAGGAUGAUGGAGCUGCAAAGACGUCCACUCAUAGGGGCACGAUAAGGGAGACUGAGACUUUUUUUUGCAAGUCACCCAGUGGGGAGGAUGAUGGCUAGUUUUGGCGGAAGGGUGGACGAUUUGCCUAAAUCGAGAGACGAAAGCUCACCGAGGAUUGAAAGGUUAUCUAUGUCAGAUUCACUAAAAUGCUUAAGAUCAGAAAUCAUUAUCUUAGACAAAGAUGCCAGAAAAUACAGUAGAAUGCUUUGGUUAAAAGAUGAGCAGGGCGAAGCUAGGAAGAGAUGGAAAGUUGGUAAGGAGAUGAGUUUCACACUGUUAAGUGAAGAAAAUGUGGUAUUAAAUAGGCUUAGCAGUUUGGAGAAUCGGGAUUGCAGGAAUUUGGAGAUGGAGAUUAAUGUUUUUUAUGAUGAGUCUAAUUAGUUUGAAUAUAAGAGGAGUAAGAGGAAAUAUAAAAAGAACAUACGUAAGAGAAUUAAUUAGAAAAGAGGAGGUUAGAAUGGUUUGUUUACAGGAAACAAAGUCCUUAGUGCUCAGUAAGAACAAUUGCUUUUAUAUGUGAGGUUCAAAUGAAAUUGAUUGGGUGGAGAAUGGUGCAGUAAAUAAUGUUGGUGGAAUCAUUACUAUGUGGAGAAGAAGUAGUUUUAAUAAGACAAGUUUUUUAAAUGGGAAAUGUUACUCUAUCAUCGAAGGAGUUUGGAAAGUAGGAGACGGGAUACACAUUACGAUAGUAAAUGUGUACAGUUCCAGCUCGUUGAAAGAAAGGAAGGAGGUUUGGGAUGAGUUACGAGAAAUCAGGAAGAACCAACAAAACAAGGUAUGGUGUGUUGUCGGGGAUUUUAAUUCAAUCAGAAGAAAAGAUGAGAGAAAAAGCGUAGUCUCAACAUCAGAUUAUAGUAGAGAGAUCAGGGAUUUUAAUGAUUUCAUUGAAAACACGGAGUUAUUGGAUAUUCCAAUGGUCGAAAAAAAGUUUACUUGGUAAAAGCCAAAUGGGACGGUCAAUAGCAGAAUUGACAGAAUUCUUGUCUCACCAGAAAGGUCUUUGAUCAUUGUGCUUUAGUUCUAAAAGUUUUAUCGGUGGAUUGGGGGCCUAAACCUUUCAGGAGUCUGGAUGUGUGGCAAAGGGAUAGUGGGUUCCUGGAUUUUGUUCGCAGUAAAUGGCAGAGCUAUGAGGUGUUUUGUGGAGGGAUGGUUGUUCUAAAAGAAAAAUUGAAAAAUUGAAAGCUAGAUUUGAAGAGGUGGAAUAGGGAGGUUUUCGAGAAUGUCAAUCGGGAAGGGGAAUCUAUACAAAAGAAGAUUCAAGAGUUGGACGCAAGAGACAAUGAAAGUGAGUUAGAUGAGCUGGGGAGGGAGGAGAGGGACUUUUGCUAGUGGAACAAAGUCGAAACCUUUUUACACAAGAAGCGGUCUUGCACCAAAAAGCAAGACUAAAGUGGUUGAAACAAGGCGAUCUAAACACUAAAUUUUUCCACUCCUCAGUGAAGUGGAGGAGAAUGAGAAACGGGAUCAACGGGGUACCUUAUGUGUUCAAUAUACACAAGGGAUUUACCCUACUCUUUCUUUUACUUUAAUAACUUACACAAUAUCCUUUAUUAUAUUACAUAAAUGCUCUGAUUAUAUCACAAAGUACUCCGAUUUAUAUCCAUGAUAUUCAGAUUAUAUGAAAGGAUACUAUGAUAUGUCACAUCAAAACCUGGAGAAACUAGUGUUAGAGAUCCAAGUCCAUGAAGGCUUAUAAAUAGAUGACCACUCAUAGGGAGUAAUCUCAACUCGAAUUUUGGCACUAUACUCACUAUAUAAACAAAAUUUGAUGCUCUUACUGAGUUGAGCGUCAGAGUAUUUUUUGCAGGUGGAGCCCCCCUCAUUCCUUGGAAGUUGAAUCACUAGAGCUUAAAGGGAGACUACCCGAAGCCCACUCAAAUUUAGAUUGACCUCAUCUCGGCGAGAACUGUAAUAGUCUAUCAUUUGAUUGAUAUUGAUGCGGUAUAAAAAUCAUUUAUAUUGAUUCCUCGCAUAUAAAAUUAUUAAGAGAGUCUCUUAAAUAUUGAUUCCUCGCAUAUUUAUAAAAAUUUCUUAUCAUUAUUAUUAGACGUUGAUAGCAAUUAACAUUUCAAAUCUAUUCCAAGUAUUCAAAUACGUUAAGCAUUAUCAUUUGGGUCAGAAACUUAGAAUUACUUUCCAGUCAUAAGAGUUUCAAAGAUGAACUUCAAUCCCAUUUUUCCCAAUUGAAGCAACAAACUCUUUGACUUGUGUUUUUUAAUCAUUGCAAUCAUAACAAACUCCCAACAAACUUUGUUAUUUUGUUUUCUAUUUAAUGAAUAUUUUACUUGAUUAUUCAAGUGUUCCUUGUGAGUUCGAUAUUCGUCCUUAAGGAUAAAUUAUUACUUCUGACAACACGGUGCACUUGUUGUAUCACAUAUUUAUAAAAACUUCUUAUCAUUACGAUUAGACGUUGAUAACAAUUAACAUUUCAAAUCUAUUCCCAACAUUCAAAAUAUGUUAAACAUUAUCAUUUGGGUCAGAAACUCAAGAGUAUUUUCCAGUCAAGAUCAAUCUAGAUCAUAGAAACAAACAUUACAAAUAAAAUGACAAUAACAAUCAUCAAUCAAGAACAAAAUAUUAUAUUUAAAUAUCAACUCAAUACAUAAGAGGAUGAAUUUCAAUCCCAAUUUUCAAAUUGAAGCAACAAAUUCUUGGACUUGUUUUCUAUUUAAUCAUUAUCAUCAUAACAAACUCCCAACAAACUUUGUUAUUUUGUUUUUUAUUUAGUGAAUCUUUUACUUAAUUAUUCAAUUGUUCCUUGUAGUUCUGAAAAUACAAUGCCCUUAUUAAAAUAGUUAUCACAUCUUGUCUCAAUACAUGGGGAUUGGGAGAAGCCAAUAGGAGAUCAUGUUUCCUCUUCAUACACAAAAGCUCCCCAACCACUUAUCACGAAGGAGGAAGUGGCUUUGUACUAAAUCUGCACCAGAUUUCACUCCUCCUCCAGAAGUCGGUCAAGGCCAACCCACUUCUUGUCACUGAACAAAACUCGUAGAUCAAAGAUCAAGAUGCGUUCUGCUUCAAUUCUGAAUUUGCGACACCCUUUGCAAGGAACAUAUCGAGUUAUUAACUUUGAAAGUCAAUAAAAAUAUUAUUUGCAGCAUUUUGAGUUAUUAACUUAUUAAUGACAAUAAAUAUGGAAGUUUUUGUUCAAUAAAAAAUUGAAACGUAAAAAAUGGGAAAAUAUGAUAUAGAAUUGUACCUUAAAUGGCUCUUCCAAUGUUAGACGACUUCUAGGCAAAUUUAAAACAAUGAUGUGCUUUGGAUUAAAUUUUGGUGGGAAAGACUUUGAAGGACACUCUUCCCAGUCAAGAAGUCUUAAAUAAUUUGGUAAAUGUUCAAGUUCAGAUGAAAAUUGUGUGUUUCGAACAAUGAGAAUUCUGAGACAUUCCAUCUUCACCAACUCAGUACCACUCCAUUCUACUUUUUCUCGUUGAGGGGGAUCAAGCAUAAACCCUUGAAUCAUAUCACUUCCCUUUAACACAAGUACAAAGAAGCAACAUCAACUGCCUAUUAUCAGUAAUAUAAAAUACUAUAAUCUAUAAAUAAAAAACAAAAUAGAAUAAAAGAGUAGAGGAUUACGUAAUCUUUUGUUAGUAUUUCAAUAGCAUCUUCAUAAUACCAUAUUCUGCUACGUUUAGCAGGAUUUGGUGAUUCCUGCUUAACAAUCUCUCUACCCAUAUCUUGUAUUAGAUCAUGCAUCUUCAGGCAGCCAUUCUCGACAGUUAUGAGAGAUUUAUUAAGAAGUAAUUUCAUGUUGGUUGUUGGACAAAAUUCUUGAAGUAUCUUUUUCACAUAUUCCAUUCUCUCCCCUUUAAAGAAGCAAGCUAUGUCCAAGAAAAUUUGUUGGGCAUUAUCAUCCAAUCUAUCGUAGCUUAUUUGAAGCACAUCUUGAAUCUUUGUAUUUGGAGUCUUCUCAUAUUCUUUCAUUGCCAUUUCCCAAUCUUCUAAACUUUCAUGAAAAGCAGCUAAAUCAGAGCCUAUGACUUUUAAAGCCAGUGGAAGACCUUUGGCGUAAUCUACAGCACGCACAGACACAUCUUCAAAACCUGUUUUAGGAUAACUUUGUCUGAAGGCAUUCCAACAAAAUAGCUGUAAAGAAUGUUGGUCAUCAAGUUCCUUCAUUUCAUACGUAGGUUUAACUUGGUGAGCAAUUAGCACAUUUUCUUCCCUUGUGGUUAUAAUGAUCCUACUACCUGGACCAAACCAAUUACACUCUCCUGCCAACUUUUCUAACUGGUCUUUAUCACCAACGUCAUCAAGAACCAAAAGAACUUUCUUUUUCUGAAGCUUUUCUUUUAUUUCACCCAUUCCUUUAAUUGUACUUUCCAAUUUAGUUUCCAACUCCUCAAACAUCUUAGAUAAAAGUGUCUUUUGUAGAUCUUCCAUGCCAUUGAUUCUGUUUGAUUUUUCUCUAACAUCGGAAAGAAAACUUGCUGCAUCAAAGUGUUGCACAAUUUUGUCAUACAAAGCUUUGGCAAGUUCCGUUUUUCCAAUUCCACCAAGUCCAUAUAUGCCCAACAUAUUUACAGUUUUAUCAUCAGGCUUCAUGUCUAAAAGUGACAUAACUUCUUCUAUGCAAGCCUCAAGUCCAAUAGGGUUUUGACCACUAUAUAAAGGUUUAGGAAUUAUAUAUUCAUGGACCUUCUCAACAAUUUCUUCAAUACAAUAGCUUUCAUCAUCCCUAUAAGAGUAGAAUGUAUUAAUUAAUUAUUUGUUUGAUAUCAUGAUUUUUUUUAUUGUACUAAGUGGUGAUUAUUGUACUAGAUUUUUUUUUAUCGGCAAUAAAAAAUAAAUAAAAUAAAAAUAGAACCACUUCAGGGGUGGUUUAACCCUUAUACAUAAAAAAGCUAAACCAGCUCCAACUAACGUCUUCCAAAAACCAACCCAACUCUUCUACCCCUUACAAAACCAAGCAAAAAACCUCAAGAAACUAACCUUGUACACUCCAAAGGAGCCAAACACCAGAAUAAGAAAACGAAACUAACCGGGAAUUUGUUGAAACCCAAGACCAAGCCUUUACCUGUGCCAACGCAAAGAGCUCUUUCUCGUCUGCCACUCCUCUAUUAAAAAUUAUACGAUUCCUGUGGCUCCAAAUCUCACUUAUCACCCCAACCCAAAUCGUGUUCCAAGCAACCAGACCCGUCUCCGAAGGUAAGCACAAUCUAAAUUGAUCAAAGUUGCACCUUGGUUCAAUAUGAGUCACAAACUGGAUUCCUAGCCACUUAAAACAUAAACACCAAACUCGCCAAGCAAACGAACAACCAAAGAACAGAUGGCUACUCGACUCCUCCUCCUUCCCGCACAACACGCACCUCAAGCUUUCUAAUCGAACCCCUCUUCUACUAAGAUUGACCCUGGUAGCUAGCUUGUUUUUCAACACCCUCCAAGCCAAAACCAUUGCAGAAGGAAUUGCUUUACUCCUCCACAACUUCCUAAGCUCCUGCGAAGAAACCGCUUCAAAAUCCUUCCUGAUAAGGUUGUAAGCAGAGCUAACGGUGUAAGACUGAACACCCCCACCCUUCCAAAUCCACCUAUCAGUCUCUCCAAGAACAACCUCAACCCCAAGCAGGAGCUGACUUAAUCGAUCCGCCGCCGGUUUCUCCCAUUCGAAAAAAGGCCUUCUCCAAUCAAGUCCCUAGACCCAUCUCCCAUCAGACCAAGACCCAAGAUCCGACAGUUUUGCAUGUUUGUUAGAGCUGAUUGAGAAAAGUCGUGGAAAAACAUUCUUCAACGCCUCACCCAUCAACUAGCUAUCCUUCCAGAAACAAAUGUCCAUCCCAUUCCCAAUCUUCCACUCAAAACUGUCUUCGAAACAUCUCCCCCACCCCUUCGAAUACCAAACUUCCUUCAAAUCCUUCCACCAAAGAGAACAACUCUUACCAUUACUUGCCACCCCCAGAUCUCUCCACCCCCCGUACUUAGAGAAAAUGAUGUCCUUCCAAAGUCCUACCUCAACCGAACCCAACCUCCAAAUCCACUUUCCCAACAAAGCCCCCCAAACUCACGAGGUUUACACACCAGGUUNNNNNNNNNNNNNNNNNNNNNNNNNNNNNNNNNNNNNNNNNNNNNNNNNNNNNNNNNNNNNNNNNNNNNNNNNNNNNNNNNNNNNNNNNNNNNNNNNNNNAGAAAAUCCCUUUGCAACUUGAUCAACUUACUUGCCACCCUAGUAGGCAAUCUGAACAAAGACAUAUAAAAUAACGGAAUAGCAGAAAGCACAAACCUAAUCAGACAAAUCCUCCCAGCCAUCAACAAACUUCUUCCCUUCCACCUGCUUAACCUAGCCUGCACUUUCUCAAUCACCCUGUUCCAAAACGUACCGCACUUGUGACUCCCUCCAACAGGCAGACCCAAGUAAAUGAACGGAGGGGCCAUCGUAUCACACCCAAGAAUCGCUGCAAAUCUCUGAAGUGUGGCCUGGUCCAUCCCCGUCCCUCCAAUCCUACUCUUCGCAAAAUUAACCCUUAACCCAGAAGAUAGCUCGAAACACUACAGGAUCGCCCUGAUAUUAAAGACACUUUUGGUAUUUGCUUCACAGAAGAACAAAGUGGCGUCCGCAUACUGUAACAUAUUUACCUUUACUUUACUCUUCCCAACCUCCAAACUGUCAAUCAACUUCUUUUCCUCUGCUACCCUUGUCACCCCAGCUAAACCCUCCGCCACAAUAAGGAAGAGAAAAGGGGCAAGCGGGUCGCCUUGACGUAGACCCUUUCUAGGAAAGAACUCCCUAGUUGGGCUUCCGUUUACAAGGACCGACACCGAAACUGACUCCAGGCAUCCCUUUAUCCAUCGAAUCCACCGAGCACAGAAACCCAACCUUCUUAACAUAUAAUAUAAAAAUUCCCAUUUCACCGAAUCGUAUGCCUUCUCGUAGUCGACUUUAAAGCAGAUACUUUGUUUUCUCUUUCUCUUGUACUCCUCAAGAANNNNNNNNNNNNNNNNNNNNNNNNNNNNNNNNNNNNNNNNNNNNNNNNNNNNNNNNNNNNNNNNNNNNNNNNNNNNNNNNNNNNNNNNNNNNNNNNNNNNUUCCAAUCACCUUUUUCAGGCGCAAGGAGAGCGCCUUUGAGAUGAUCUUAUACAGGCAACCUACUAAUGAGAUAGGUCUAAACUCCCCCAACUGUUGAGGAUUUUCAACUUUUGGAAUCAAACAAAGAAACGACGCAUUUGAUACUCUUGGCCAACAUCCAAAAUCAGCAAAGUCCUUUACUGCGUUCAUCACAUCCUUCUUCACAAUGUCCCAACAAGAUUUUAAAAAACAAAAGUUAAACCCGUCGGGACCAAGACUUUUUGAACUAUCACACCCCCAGAUCGCAUCUCUUACCUCAUCUUCCGAGAAAACGCUGACUAACAUAGCGUUAUCUGCUUCUGAUAUGGUAUUGAACCUGACAUUAUCCAAAGUGACCUGACAAACAUCGUUCCGGGCAAACCUUUCUUCAAAGUACUUACGAACCUUAUCCUUUACCUCCUCCUUAUCAUCACACCAUUUAUUAUUGUCGAAAAAUCCAUGUAACUGAUUCCUUGCCCUCCUCCACUUAACCGCAGAAUGAAAGAACUUUGUAUUAUGAUCCCCCUGCUUUAUCCAAUUCUGCUUUGCUUUCUAAAAUAAGAUCGCCUCUUGUUUGGAUCUGGACUCAGAUAGUUGAGCAAAUAGGGACUUUCUUUCAUCCUUUUCUGAUUCCAACAACCCGUCUUCGUCGUCACGAGAAUCUAACUCGUCUAACCUUUUCUAGAUUUCCUUACUAGCCUGAUCUCCGAAUACUUCCCUAUUCCACACCUUUAGGUCUGCUUUUAACUUUUUCAGCUUCUCUUUAAACACAAAAAUUCCCCCUCCCGUCACCUUGUAAGCAGACCAGCUCGAACUCACAAACUCCUUGAACCUGUGAUCCUUCAGCCAAACAUUCAAAAACCUAAACGGCUUCGGACCCCAAUCCACUGACACCUCCUUCAGAAUAACAGCACAAUGAUCUGAGAUUGAUCUAUUGAAGACAAAUUGUUGGCUGUUAGGCCACACCUCCAACCACUCCUUGGAGACCAGCACCCUGUCAAUCCUGCUUUUCACCAAACCAUUGGGUUUGAACCAAGUAAACUUCCUGCCCACCAACGGAAUAUCAACCAAUCCGAGCACGACACCAAACUCUUCCUUUCCUCCUGCCUUCUUAUACAAUUAAAGUCUCCAAUGAUGCACCAAGCCUUCGAUAACUGACCUUGUCUGAAACAACUGAUCUCGUUCCACAUCUCCUUCUUCUCUCGAAAAGAUCCUGAACAAUAAAUGUUCACGAUGGUUACUUGGGUUCCAAAACCCCUCUUCCAAACCCCUUCUAACACUGAAAAGUUCCUACCAUUCUUGAAACUGGACAACUGAAAAACCUUAUUGCUCCACAUCGUAAUCACCCUACCUGCUUUAUUAACUGCUUUGUUUUCCACCCAAUCCACUUCGUUAGUUCCCCAAAAAAGACACACCUUUUCCCUACUAAAAUCUGAACACUUUGUCUCUUGUAAACACGCCAUGUUCACCUGCUCCCUACUGAUCAAAUCCCUGACAUAAUUCUUUUUUACCGCCCCGCCUACCCCUCUGAUAUUCAGACUAAGAAUCUUCAUUAACAACCUUGCUCCUCUCUUUCCACAUUCUUCUCGUAGUCACCCCGCCUUGAUUAGAUAACGAAUAAAUACCAUCUAAAACUACCUCUUCUCGAUCGGCGAGCGAAAACCCAGCUUCUUUCCCUACUCCCCAGACACUUGCAGCCAAAUUCUUAUCUGUUUUCACCCAAAAAAUCAUGUUACAAUUCUCAAUUGCGCUAUCAGAAGUGAAAAGUGAAUUCGACGAGCUGCCUGUUUGAUGAACCAAAAACACUUGUUCCACUGAGGACUGUCUUCCUACGACUUCUCCAUCCAAACCCGUCACCCUGCCCUCCGUAUCUCCGUUGUUGCCUCCACCUUCCACUUCAUCUUCCAUACCUGCCCCCAAAUCCUCUAAUAGUCCUCCUGGAGGGAGGGCACACCCACCAUCUCUCGACUUUGACAUCUCUGACCUCCUUGCCCCCUCUGCAUCGACCAACUUUUCAGGAUCUACCAGUUCACUGUCAUUCAAACCUUGGACUACUGGAGACUUUGGGAUGUCCUUUACAGUUGCUACUGAACUCCCGUCGACUCCGUCUCUAAUCACACUGGUCCCAGACUGUUCCAAAUCAUUCAAAGAAGGACAUAUCCCUACCGAAUUAGCGACCCUACUCACUGAACUCGUCUGUCUUGAGACGCUCCCGACUUCUCCUUCUUCUUCUUCGUGACAACCAUCCUGGACACUCAAAUUCUCUUUGCACGGCUUCAUAAAUGCACUUUGGCACUUUAAAUCCCCCACCACUCCUUUCACACUUAGAACUCCAUUUUCCACGCACUUAAUCAUAGGGGGACACACUUUUAAAGAAGCGAGCCCACCAUCAUUAAUUUCCUGCAUUCCUACUUCUUGAAAUGGCUCUUGAGGUGGCGCUUGAAAAGACGCUCCAGCCCUCACAUUCCCUCUCAACAUGCACCUACUUUCACUUACCCCUCCAUUACUCCUUGCCUUAUCAUUCGCUGACUUGGACUCCUUGGAACUAGCCACCUCCACGUAGGAAUCCACUAUCUCUAUCUUUGAACAGCUAAGAGAACCGUGCCCACCCACUAACUCCACUCUCUUUCUCAAAGAAAUACCGUGCACAUUCAUUGGCCCUCUUAAAUUAUCUUGAAACCAUCCUUCACGCCCCUUACCAAGACAAACCGGGUCCACCAUGCCCUGGACCGUCUCUUCCAACUCCAAGCCUCCUUCCCCGACGGCACCCACACCUCCAUCUCCGGCCAACCCAAGCUCCGACCCCACUGAAUCGCACAAGCUUGCACCUACGCUUCCGUCAUCGGAGUUAGCUUCGGUGUCUACCUCUAAAGCUCCGCCAUUCCACUUGCCAAGACUCUGCUCCGGGACGGACAUCUCUUCAACAAAGGCAACCUUACAUGACCUACCAUUGAUGCACAACUCCUUCUCCAUAUUGACUGUUGAUCUUACCGAUGUUUUAACUCUAAACCGAGCAAACUCCACUGUUUCUCUUCUCUCAGUUACUUCGUCGACCUCCAUCACCUCUCCCACCACUACCCCUAUUUUGGAAAAACUAUGUUUGCACCAGAACUGUAGCGGGAUUCCACUGCAUCGUAUCCAUGCAAAACGUUCUUUUAGUUCGAAAGAACCAUCCCAGGGUGUAACCGCCGAGAACGCUUCGUCGAACCAAGACCUGUUGUCUGCAAUGAUCUUCUUCAGACUUCCUCCAUCAUCGCAAGACAGCAGAACGAACCUACCACCAAGAUAUCUUACUUUGACUAGGCUGAAACCUCCCAACACAAAGCUCUCCUUAAUCACUUGCAUGCUUGGAAGCUCUUUCAAACUACCAACGUAGCAUCUACUAACCAAUCGUCUUGUUCUACCUCCACUGUAACCUGAGAAUCAACGUCGCCCCCCAAAGAGCUACCCACAAUCUCGCCUGUUCCAAGCUUUCCUGCCCCCCCCCCCCCCCCGAAACCACUUGAGCGAACGAAACCUGCUCCGUUUGCUUCCCCUUCCCACUCGUUGUGCUCGUCAUUGGGUUCCUCCCUAAUCUGGACCCUUCAUUCCUUUGCUUCCUUGAACCAUCCUUCCUCUUAUAUUUGGGAAGGUUCACCUGCAUCUUCCAAGUGCCAAUCCAGAGUGCACUCAAUUCUCUUUCCAGGGAAAGAACAUCCUUCACACCCUGGAACCUUACAAAACCAAACUUCUUAUUCCUUGCAUUGAGCUUUCUUGAAACAAAGACAUCCAUAACCCUUCCCCACCUUUGGAAAACCUUCCAAAGAUCUCUCUCCAUGAAAUGCUCGGGGAAGUUAGUAAAGAAAAACGAAGUGUCCGCCAUUGUCGAAAGUUAACAAACCGCCUUUACUUACUCCGACCAUCGUGUUUCUCCGGUUACUAUUUUAUUGUACUAGAUAGUAAGCAAUGAUACUAAUAGCAAGUAGCACAAAAGAACAAUGAUUACACAUUAUACAAAAUUUACUGGAGAUGAAAAAGUUAGAGAAAUUUUAUUCUAAACAAAAAAUUCAAUAAUUUAUAAAGAAAAAUACCUAAAUAUAAUAUAAUAUUCAAAUAAAGAAUGAUUUUUUCCACUUUGGAUUUUUAUUAGUUUUUUAUCUUUUAAAUUAUACUUUUUAAUAUCCAGAAUUAUACUUUGUGACUAACAAAAUCAAUUAACACCCUGAAAAAAAUCUAAAGUUUAAGAUGUAGAAUAUUAUAUAUAACAAACUACACAUGAUAAAAACAAUAUUGCAUCCCAUUAUAAUUAAGAUGUAGAAUAUUAUAUAUAACAAACUACACGUGAUAAAAAUAAUAUUGCAUACCAUAAAGUAUAUUACUUGAAAUCAUUUUUGUUUGUGAAAAGUAAAGUCCUACAUAAGAUUAACUUAUUUUUGGUUUUUAACCUUUUAUAAAAGGCUAUAAUUAUUUUUUAACUAAAUUAAUUUAUUUUUGGAUGAGAGAAAAAUUAAGAGAGGAAAAAUAUUUUUUCUUUUAAAUUUUCUUACCAAUUGUAUUUUUUUUAUAAGAGAAGUAAAGUCUUACAUCUUAAUAGAUGAUAUAUGUGGAUGAUAAGUUAGUAAUAGUUUCCAACAAAGUUCGAAUAUGAGAAUUGAAGGGCAUUUGAUAAUAAGAAUUUAAGAUCAACAAUCUAAGAUUUUAGAAAUACUCACCAAUAUAGAAAAGAGAAAUGUUUUACUUCCUUAGAAUAAAAUAUUUCAAUCAACAACAUAAAAAAUUUAUGAUAAGAGGUAAAGCAAUACUCACCUGGGAGCAUGGUGCUUAGAAAAUCUAAGGAGGUGUUGAAGGAACCCAAGAGAACAACAUGGUACUCAUUGAGAAAAUAUUGUUAGAGUUUAUGGUGUUCAAUAAACACAAUUGAUGAUGGAAGUGAGAAACAACGAAAGAAAGACAAUCGAGACUCUCUAUGCUCUGUGUGAAAGAACCCAUUACAACAACGUUCAUUGAGGUAACAACUCAUACCAUUAACAACUUUCCAUUUGACUUUGCUAUUAAUAAUAGCAAUAGACUCUUUUGCUUACGAAAUGGAAGUGCAGAGGAUAUUAGGUUAUGUGAAUUAGGUUAGGAAAUCAGAAUUACAUUUAUAGGGUAGGAUGAAAAUAUCUUAAAGAUGAUUGAGAAAAUGAAGGGAAGAGACUGCGAAAUGAAAAUAUUAAAGGGAGAGAAGAGACAAUCCAAUUGAUGAAGAUAAUAUGUUUAAACAUUGUAGGGGAAUUGAUUAAUAAGGAGGAGGGUGGGGUAGUGUGCUAACAAGAAACCAAAUUGGAAAUAGUCAAUAAAGAAAGAUGCUACAAUAUGGGAAACGAUGACAUAAAAUGGGAACAUUUUGCAGUUGUAAAUGGAGUACAAGGAAUUUUAACUAUGUGGCCUAAGGAUACUUUCAUAUGUGAAACAUUGGUUAGAAACACAAGUUUUGUAAGGGUUAAGGAAAGGUACAAAAAGAAUAAUAUGUCAAUAGUAAUACUAAAUGUGUAGUUCCCUUAGAGAAAUGUUAGAGAAAUGUGACUAAAUUAUGUCUUGAAGCAAAAUGAACUUUUUUAUCUUUAACAAGUUUUACGUCCAAUUAUGAUAGAUAUUGAUUUGCGCUCAAAUUUUUUUUUUAGAUUCGUGGGUAAUUAUUUAUGGACACAAAUAUGUCAGUAAAUGUCUAACAUUAUCUAUUGGUACAAUUCGUCGAUAAUAAAAUAAUAUCGACGAACAUAAAUCUGUCAAUAAAUUUUCAUUAGUAAUUCAAUAAUUUUUUGUAGUAGGUGGUUUUAAGAGAAAAAUUAAAAAGAUUUAAGCAUGACUUAAAAGUUUGGAAUAAAGAGGAAUUUGGUAAUGUAAACCAAAUCAAGCAAACCACUAUAACUCAUAGAGGUGAUUUUGACAAAAUGGAUUACUCAAAUGAUCUAUAUGAGAAAGGAAUGAUGGAAAGGAAGAAACUCUUUAGUGAACUCAAACUCAUAGACUAGCAACAUAAGUCCUUGGAGAAAUAAAUUCAAUGUUAGGCUAAUGAACAUUAUCUUCUAUUUCUCCUAGUGAUAAUAUAGUCCUAACAAGACAAAAUAGAAAUUAAGAAAGCACUAGGCAUGUUGUGUGGAAUAUGUGCAACAAGUAUGUUGGAGUAAGUACUGCUACUCAAAAUCAUGUAAAGUUGAACUUUCAACAAUUCUACUUGUCGAGAAUGAAUGACAAAGGAAAUAGGAUAUGGGGGUGUAUGUGGAUAGAGAUCUUUUUUUUGGAUUAUAUAGAAUCAAAGGAAUAAAAAUAUCUUUAAGAAUGAGACCGUAUAUGAAGAGAUAUUUUUUUUACACAAAUAAAAGUAUAAGCUUGGACAAGGAAUAGAUCUUUAUCAACUUUCACAUAAAACCCCUAUAUAAAUAAUAUGGUAUACUCGCACAAUGGGCAUAUGCAAUUGUUAUCAAUUAUAAGUUUUUUUCAAGUUUGAGUCACUAAGAGUUGAGAUUUAUCGAGUACCAUAGACAUCAACGAUGUAAAACCUUAUGUACGACAUAUGUAAAAAAACUAAACUUUAAAUAAGGAGUGACAACAAUUAGUAUAGGUUUAUGGUAAAUUCUGAUACUGAGAUGUGAAGUGUUAUUAAGAGGAUCCUUAGAUACUUCAGAGGAACCUCAGACAUUGUAUUAUGUUUUGAAAUAUCAGAAUUAGAUAUGAUCUUUAUUAAAUGAAGUCUAUUAGUGACUAUGUGUGUAUACUUAUAGGUGGAGCAAUAUGUUAAUUAUUCAAGUUGGAUGAUUUUAUAAUUUUGUCUAGUACAUAAAUUGAAAACAUAAAAGGCAUCCAAGCAUACAUGAAAGCUAUCUAAAUUCAAAGGUAUACAUGAAAGCUAUCUAAAUUCAAAGGUUAAUUGAUGAACUAAGACAUAAAGCAACAAAAAAAAAAAUAUUCUAAUAGUGAAAAUGCAUUUACACAUAACAAUAAUAGUGAAAAUGUAUUCUAUUCGAUAGAUAAUAUACUAUUUUUUUAUUUUAGAUUUAUAAGGUGGUUAUAUUAUAAUUUUAUUUCUUUAAUUUUAUAAAGUUACUUUAUUAAUUUUAUUUUAGUUGUAAAUAAUUAUCCCAUAAAAUACAUGAUUUUUUCGAAAUAUGGGAUGAAAAAGAAAUAACAUUGAAUGGUUUGUUAUACAUACCCGGUGGUAAUAAUAUGCCUCCCUGGGAAGUCAAAAGCUUGAGACAAGGCUGACCUCCAAGCCUGCAUUUUCUGUGAUUCUUUUCCAAUCUCAUGUUCAUGUGCCUUCAUGUGUUUUCCGAAGCUGUUUCUCUCGUGCCGUAUAUCUGAGGGAUCUACAUGGUAAAACACUGGGUAAACAAGCUGCUUCUUCUCCUUCAUUUUGCUGCGUUCUAUGAUCCUAACAAGUUCAUCCAGACACCGUGUAGAAGAUGCAUAGUUCUCAGAAAACACAACGAUGAAAAUCUUAGAUUCUUCAAUGGCCUUCGACAGAGCAGGUGGAAGACUUUCCCCUAUCCUCAUAUUCCUAUCAUCAUUGAAACUUUUUAUUCCCCUCCUACCCAACUCUCUACGCAGAUGCCCUAUAAAAGUGUACCUUGUAUCUUCCCCUCUAAAACUGAUGAACAAGGAAAUUUGUUUGGCCUUAUCAUCCAAUUUAUCGUAGCUUAUUUUAAGCACAUCUUGAAUCUUUUUAUUUGGAGUCCUCUCAUAUUCUUCCAUUGCCAUUUCCCAAUCUUCUAAACUUUCAUGAAAAGUAGCUAAAUCAGAGCCUAUCCUUUUUAAAGCCAGUGGAAGACCUUUGGCGUAAUCUACAGCACGCAGAGACACAUCUUCAAAACCUGUUUUAGGAUAACUUUGUCUGAAGGCAUUCCAACAAAAUAGCUCUAAAGAAUGUAGGUCAUCAAGUUCCUUCAUUUCAUACAUAUUUUUAACUUGGUGAGAAAUUAGCACAUCUUUUUCCCUUGUCGUUAUAAUGAUUCUACUACCUGGACCAAACCAUUUACCCCCUCCUGCCAAAUUUUCUAACUGGUCUUUAUCACCAACGUCAUCAAGAACCAAAAGAACUUUCUUUUUCUGAAGCUUUUCUUCUAUUUCAGUCAUUCCUUUACUUGUACUUCCCAAUUCAGUUUCCAACUCCUCAAACAUCUCAGAUAAAAGUGUCUUUUGUAGAUCUUUAAUGCCAUUGAUUCUGCUUGAUUUUUCUCUAACAUCGGAAAGAAAACUUGCAGCAUCAAAGUGUUGCAAAAUUGUGUUAUACAAAGCUAUGGCAAGUUCCGUUUUUCCAAUUCCACCAAGUCCAUAUAUGCCCAACAUAUUUACAGUUUUAUCAUAAGGCUUCAUUUCCAAAAGGGACAUAACUUCUUCUAUGCAGGCGUCAAGUCCAAC